CGCGGCCUGCGCGGGACAAGGCCCGGGGGGAAGCGAAAAUGCCCUGGAGUGAGGGGGAUUUUUCCAGGAAAACUGGAGAGAGCUGGAAUAGAGAGGGCAGGAGGUGGCAGGGAUGGAAGGAUUUCGUUCCCAGCGCCUAAAGGGGCUCUGAGAGCCCAGGAGAGGGACUUUGGGAAAGGGAGCGGAGUGCGGGACAAAGUUUGAGCUGAAGGAGGGGAGGUUCAGGUGGGAUUUGGGGAAGAAAUUCCUCCCUGGGAAUAACCUGGCACAGAUUAUUCCAUGGCUGCCACAUCCCUGGAAGUGUCCAGGGCCAGCUUGGAGCAACCUGGGGUAGUGGAAAGCAUCCCUUGGGUCAUCCUGGAUCCCUUCCCACCCCAACCAUCCCUGUGAGCAUCCCUGUGAUCAUCCCUGUGAUCAUCCCUGUGAUCAUCCCUGUGAUCAUCCCUAUGAUCAUCCCUGUGAUCAGUGGCCGUGUAUAAUUUUAGUUAAUAAGUUAAUUUAUAAGUUUAGUUAAUAAUAAGUUUGUGGCUGAGAUCCAACGUUCUCCCCAGGUACAUCAGCCUCUCUCCACUCCUUUUAUUCCUGAUGCUUUUUGCUUCAAGCUGGGAUGUAAAAACAUCCCCUCUGGGGAUUGAUGUCCAGCAAAACACAAUCAAAUCAUUUGUGUGCGGCACUUUAGUCGCUUUUCAAAAGUCCACACGCUGUAUUUUAACUAAAAGCUUCGAUAAGUAGUAAAAAGGUGGAAAAACAGCCACUUAUUCUGCAAGUUUGGCACAACCACCGAUGCCAGCCCAUGGCACUGAUGGCAAAACCUCCCAAAAUUGUGGCUGUGCCUCAUGUGAUCAUUUCAGGGGAGCAAAAUGCAGGAGUUCCUGAUAAGUGAUUUUUAGAUGAGCCCAGUCCUAUAAAAUAAGCCAGGCUCAGACAGUGGAGAGUUUGAAAAUAAGUGAGAUAUGAUGGUCAAACAAAGAGCAAGACACCUGGCUUGGGGGUGCUGCUAAAAAUGGCUUAGAAAGGAAGAAAAAAAAGAUUACACAUUUAGGAAAAAAAUAAGAAUAUAGCUGUUGUAAGGAUUUGGGGAAGAGCCUGCACCAUCACAGGUGUGUCAGUGGAUUUUUUGCCUCGAGCCACACAGCUUUAACCCUCGUGGCUCUUGGUGGCUCUUGGAGAAGGUUUUAUUGGGGAAUUGGGUGGUUGUAGCAAUAAAACCCUGUGGCUGUAUUUAUAGCUGUACUGUAAAACCUUUCUCUGGGUACCACAAAGCAGUCUCAGCUCCGGUAGGGAUUUUCUGUUGCUGUUUCUUUCGGUGUGCAAAGGAUUUCAGGAUCUCUCAGCAGCGGUGCUGCUGCCCUGGAGCAGCUUUAGGUGAGGUGGAUCUGAAAGCUCCAUCAGUCAUCAAAUUGCUCAGAGUUUUGUCUUCCCAAAGGCCUUUCCCAGCUGUUUAUUAGGUGGUAAAUUCUCUGGGUUCACUCUGGGCCACUGCAUCCUUGCUCCUGGCUCAUGUUCUUGCUGUCUGGGAAAUGAUUUGUGGCCAGGGGUGACAGUUGGCAGCUUUUUCACUCCUGACACAUUUCUGUGUGCUGGGGGCACAGAAUGGGAUGCACUGGCCUCCCCCAGCACCAAAAACAACCUGGUGGUGCCUGUGCUGCUCUCCCUCCAGUCUCUGCUUCCCAAAUUUGGCCCAUCUCGAAGGAGCAGAGGGACAGUUGGGACCUCAGGGGAGACUGACGGGGUUAUUGAAGGUACAGAAACACCUGGCAGGUGUCCCCAGAGCUGGGUCUUGGGAUGAGGAUGAGGCUCUGGUGCUCUCCUGGUGGUGCUGCUGCUCCUCUGGCACAGCCCUGCUGCCCCUGGUUCUCCCCACACUUUCCCCUGACAGAAAUGUGGCAUUUUCAUCAGGACAUGUUCAAACUCCUGGUUCUUUCUGGGGUUUGGUGCAAUUAGCACCAAAGGGGAGCUCCAGGCAGGAGGAACGAGGCUUCCUUCAAACCUCUGAUUCCAGGGAUGUGCCUGCCCAAAAAGCCACAGUCAUUCUUCUGAGAGUUUUGUGCUAUUUAAUUAAUCAUCUCCAGAUUUUCUGCUUGCUGGUGACUUCAAAGCAGGCACUUUUGAGGUGCAGCCUCCCAAAAUCAUAUUGAAAGCUGGUGUCUUCAUCCCCCAGGAGGAGCACACAGUCACAGGCUGUGGGAGAUUUUUCUCAUCCUUUAGAGCUUUAUACCUUUGUCUAAGAUUUUUUCUGUGACUUUUUUAAGCACAGCCUUUGGUCACCCUGCAGAUGGGUGUUCUAGACUUUGAGUUUUCUCCAGGUCCCAGUGUGAUCACAGUUGGUUCACAGAGGGAUUUAUUUCAAGGAUUAUCAAUUUACUGGGUUAUCUUUUGCAGCAGGAAGGGUUUUGCUGAUAGAAAUUCAACCUCUGCCUUCUUUCCCACCGUUCCAAGUUGGAUUUUACUUGUCAAGACAACCAUAAAGCCUUCCACGAGUGAAAGGAAAACCAAAUCCUUUGGGUUUGCAUUAGGUGUGCCGAGGUUGUCAGUGCUGUGCCUCUUCUCUUCAGCACCACACAACUUCACAGCUCAGUUUGGGCAGAGGUCAGGUCUUUUCCAGCCCAGGAGGGAGGCAGGGAUCUGGCCCAGGACUGAUUCUCUGGGAUUUUAGCCAUGAGCACAGAGGUGGCCCAGCCUGAGGCAGGAGGGACAGGCGCUGAGGAAAGCAGGGGUGCAGCAGGAGCUUGUCCUGUGCUGGUGGUGUGAUCUUCAUCAUCUAAACCUGGGUGUUUGAGGGGGUUUAUCCUCAAUUCUGAGGUUCUGACCGUGGUUCCAUGGCGUUGAAUCUCCUCUUGUUUUAUUCCUGCUGUUCUCCGCCCACAUGAGCUGCCUGAGGUUGGACCUUCAGGUCACACUGACCUUGAGGCAAAAACUCCCUGUCUCAGGGAAUUCCUCUUCUUGGAUUGCACUUAAGAUCUCCCCUUUCAUGGGAAUUGAUGGCGUGUUUGGGAGUGAACAGCAGCCUGAAAUUUGUGGGAUUCCAAACGCACCCAUUCCCAGCCAGGACUCCGUGACAGAGUUGGAUCAAUUGUUAAUAGCGAGGAGGAUGCCGUGAUGCUGAUGCUGAGGGAGAUGCAGCGAUGAACUCUGCUCCAGGAUUUAGCUCUGCCCGCAGCCGAGCGCCGGGGAUGCUGCGGAAAGGUUGCCAGAGAGGCGGAUACCAGCCUGCAUCCAGGUUUUUGCUGCAUCCCCGCUGCCAGACGAGAUAUGGAUGAUCCCUGGGAUUAUUCCUGCCGUGUCCCUGCGCAGGGAGGGGAUGCUGGAGGUGCUGCCGUGCCGGGGAGGUGCCGGUGGGUGCCGGACCCUGCGGCGCUGGGGAUUUUUCAGUUCUGGAGCCGACGCUCCCCUCACGGUGAGGUCUCUGUGGCGCAAUGGACGAGCGCGCUGGACUUCUAAUCCAGAGGUUCCGGGUUCGAGUCCCGGCAGAGAUGAUCUCCAGGCAGGUGUCUCUUUUAUUUUAGUGCCAUUUCCCCUCCCAGUCCCCAUCCAUUGCAUUUAUAACGCCCCUGAGGGUUUGCAUGGGGAGGGAAUGACUUUUCCCGGCAUGGCUGAUGGAUGUAACAUCCCUGUUCUCCCUUCUGCAGGCGUUUCUCCUCCAUCAUCUCCCCCUUCCCUCAUUCCCUUUGGUAUCUCCUCCAAGCAGGUGUUUUAACCCCACUACUGCCCCAUUUUUGAUACCUUCCUCCUAAGGGAAGUUCUGUGCUCUCCAGUAGGGCCCAGCAGGGGUCAGAACCUUCUGGUGGCGUUUCCUGUCACAAAUGAAGUCACUUUUUUCAUGUGUGGCCAAAGAAGUGUAGAUCUCUGA
Molecule: long non-coding RNA, 3850 nt
Organism: Parus major (Great Tit)
Lineage: Eukaryota; Metazoa; Chordata; Aves; Passeriformes; Paridae
Exons: 2
Source: RefSeq, a predicted model, not a curated record